Molecule: long non-coding RNA, 7915 nt
Organism: Monomorium pharaonis (pharaoh ant)
Lineage: Eukaryota; Metazoa; Arthropoda; Insecta; Hymenoptera; Formicidae
Exons: 2
Source: RefSeq, a predicted model, not a curated record
AGGAUUAAAAUUAUUUUCAUUACUAUUGCGCUCCUUUACAUUUUUAAAAAGUUUGCUUAUUAAUUAUUAUUCAAUUAUAAUGGGCAAAAAAUUCAAUUUCAAACAAAAUAAUUUAAACCGUAACGUGUCUACUAAAAUUAAACUCAUGCUUCUAUUCUCGGAUUAGAAUUAAAGGAUAAAGAAUUUUAUAAAAUAAAAAAAUUAAAACUAAAAUUUAAAAAUAUAAAACGUUAAUUUACGUAAUUAGGUAAAACGUUAUUUCAAUGUAUUUUAUGAUAAUUUCAUUUUUACUGUCUUAAAAUAAGAAAAUUUUAUCAAUAAAGGUUUACUUUCUAGAAGUAGUAAUUUUCUUCUAUUGCGCUACUGGUAACGACACUACAUUUUUUUUCAAAAAUUAAAGUAAAUUUUUAAUAAUUAAUAGAAAAAUUUUCUAAUAAAAAUAUUAAAAAUAUACGGUUCUUUACAAAAUUAUAUAAUUUAUAUGUGGAUUAAGUCAAAACGUAAUUAUAAUUACAUGAAUAAAAUGUGAAGAUCUCUUUAAAGACUUUUGUGACGCGGCAAUCUUUUCUUAUUUUUGACAUCUGCAUUCAUAAUUACAAAAAAAUUUAAUAACAGAUCCAAUAUGGCGACUAAAAUAAUUAUUAUCAAAAGGAAUGCUAAAGUCUGAUUUUAAUAAAAUUUUUUUAUUUUCUUUUUAAUUUUCGACUUCAGAUUUGCCAUCAGUGACUUCAAAACCCCCUCUUCUCUGUAACAAAAUUCAACAAAAUAUACUUAACAGAAUAAUUUGCGAAACAAAAGAUUAAAUGCGUUCCAAAUCGGGAGCUAACUCUGUUCGCACAAAGUUAUAUCGACCUGCAUCGCGUCUUUGCGGUGUUCCAGUUUCGCGCUAUAUACAUACAUACAUACAGAUAAUUCGCUGUAACAUGUGGAUUUACUCAUCACUUCGAUAUUUCGAAAUAAGAGAGCCAGGACGUUCCCAGAUGUUCCCUCUCUCGGGUUCCCCGGGCAUGUCAAAUUAACCGUGCCGUCGGAAGCUACCGAGUUUCGGGCACUACAAACUUCCUCUAAUAAAUGUAGAAUACGCCGCUAAUUCGCAUCGGUGACUUAAGAACAAAGAGACCCGCUUGCCUCCUAAUAGCGCAUAUGCAUACGGUAUUAUACAGGUCUGAUUUCCAGCACGGCGUGUUCUAUCCUAAAAAUCAGCUCAGAUUUUUGAUAGAUAUGUAUCGCUUAAAUUAUCAAAAAUUAUUCUAUUCAAGUUUCACUUUUUUAUUUCUGAGAAGAAAUAGAUUUACAUCUUUUACAAAACACUUUUACAUAACUAAAAGAUUAUUCAACUUUUUAGGAAUAUUUGAAAAGUGACUGAACAAUGAUUAAUAAUUUAAACAUUAAAAUAAUUAAAAUUGUUUUAACUUUUUUAACUUCCAGAGUUGGUUAUCAAAAAAAAAGGAAAAAGUGUUUCAUAAGUUUUUUGGCAAUUCAGAAAGAUUUCAUAGAUUUUUAGACCAUAAUGAAAGUAAUAAAAAAUAAAUAACUAAUAAGUAAAAAAAGAAGUCAUAAAGCUAAGGGCUCAGAAAUAAAAAAUUAAAAUAAACAUGAAAUAAAAAGAAAACAAAAAUGUGUGUAUUGAAAAAUAUAUGCAGUCUUUUCACAUCCACGUCGGAAGAUACGUAAAGAAAAACACAAUUAAAUAUGAAAUAAAUAAAAACAUACUUCAAUUUAAACAAUUAAACUUUUUAUUCCAACUUUAGCUUUCAAUAUUAUUCAUCGAACACAAUGUAAAUUUUUGUAUGUUUUCCAACUGCUAUAGAUAAUUCCUGAUUUUUUUUAUUUUUUCACAUAAAGAGAAAGAAAACUAAUAAAAUAAUAAAUAAAAAGAGAAAAUAAAGUUAAAGACAGAAAUAUAGAACAAUCAAAAUCAAAAUCUAAAUAAAUAAAAAGCAAACAAAAAAUUGUAUAUUGAAGAAUUAAUCUACAGUUUCUCUUUUAUACAUUUUUUUUAAAUUAUACAUAUAAUCAUAAGUCGUUUAACUAACAUGUAAUCAUUUAAUCAUAGACAUUUUUAACACUAGAAUAAGAAUAAAUUAUUUUUUAUACUUUUCUGAAUGCUGAAUAUGGUUUCCAAAUUGUUUCAUGACAUCCCAAUUUUAAAAAAUUUGCAAUUAUAAAGUAGCCUAAAAAAGUUUUUUUCACGUAUCUUAUCAUAUUAUAACGAUAUGUGAUGUGUUAGAAAAGUUUUAUUAGAAUCAAUAUUAAGUAUGCUGCUAAAAUUUUUAAUCCUCAAAAGGAAUUUUAUGUGUCGGUUAAUAACUAAAGUUAAGAAGAUAUUCGUGGUUAAAAAUAAAAUAAUAAAAAAAAGUACAUAAAAAAUCCCUAUACAUGUUUGUUUCUAAAUAAAUAUCAUUUUAUCUUUAUCGGUUAAUGACUAUAUACUAAUUUCAUCGUUUUAAAUUUAUUAAUUUUAAUAUUAGAUACAUACUUAGUAUCACACAUGACAAACAUGACAUAUAUAUUAUAUCAAUUUUGGCAAAAAUUAAGAUAUUUCUUAAUUUUGAUAUUCGAUAUUGAAUCUAUUUGGAAUUUGUCAUUUUGACAUCGGAUUUAUUCAACAAUAUAAAAAAACCUUUCCGUUUAAAUAUAGUUAGAAGUUAUUUAAUCGUCAGUGAUCGAACUGAGAACUUUUUCCUACAAUAAAUUCCUGAUUUUAUCAUGAAUAUCUUAUUAAUCGUAGCCGACACAAAAAUUCCUUUUGAGGGUUGAAAAUUAAGAUUAACUACAUAACUUUGAUUGCAAUAAAAUUUCUCCAACAUAUCACAUAUCAUAAUUAUAAUAUGACAAAGUGGAAGUAGCCUUUUUUGCAAUUUCAAUUUUACAAAAUUAUAACACGAUGGAGCAAUUUGAUAACCAAAUUCAGCAUCUACUAAAAAACUAAAGAAAAAAUUAUAUCUCAUUUUGGUAUUUCUUUCUUUAAUUACGUUAACAAAACUUUUCAUCUUCUCCAACAUUAUUCAUCAAAGAAAAAGAAAAAAGAAUUUUCUUAUGUUUUCUGUAGCAUCUGUAAGCAAUUUAGGAAAUUUUCUGGAUCCUUCGAUUUUCGCGCAGGAAGAAACUAAUAAGAAAAGUCAUGAAACUAAGUACUUACAUCCAUACAACGAGAGUAAUGGAAAAAUCGAAAUAAAUAUAAAGUAAAAGGAAAUAUGAUAUUUAUGCAAAAAAAAAAUAAAUCUAUGACCCCUCCUUUUGUCUACGUUCGUAGGACAUAAAGAGACGAUAAUUAGAAACAAAGAAAAUAAAAAAUGAGAUAUAAGAUUACAAAGAUUACAAAGAUGGCACGAUUCUACAUUGCUUAUAUUAUAUUAAUAUAAUGCUUAUAUUAUAUUAAAUCCCCCGUUAACGCGCCAGCACACAAAUGCAUUUUCGAUUUAGCGAUACUUUAUUAGACUUACAGUGUCAGUAUGCGAGUCACAUUAAUAAAAUACGAUGUUUAUUGGAAAGAGAAAGCGAACUUUGUUUGUCGGUUCCGGGGGGAAAUUUACUAGCGCGACGAGGAGGAAAAGAGCGUGUCGCGGUUUUCCACGUCGUGUUCGCGAAAUCUAUUCGGCUGCAACGAGCGGGACGUGUCGUUGCUCGGGUCGCCACAGAGGUUGGUAGGUGCUGAACGCUUAGCUUGAUAUUGAUCGACCUUCUCCGCCGCCCUACUCCCUUCGCUGCUCGCGCCGCGUGGCCCCGCCGCCGCCGAGCCGCCACAUCUCCACGCAAAGCAACGUGCCGGAGUGACGUAAUGUCGCGGAGGGGGCAACGAAACAACCCUCUCUCUCUCUCUCUCUCUCUCUCUCUCUCUCUCUCUCUCCCCUUCGCUACUCCUACCAUCGGCACAUCCCGAUUUUUGCCCCCUGCCAGUGUAACCCAUCCCUUCGACGAGCGCCGACGGGCGUGCAGCAACAAUUUGUCACUCAAAAAUUGCUCCCCGGAGAAAAAAAGCAGACAAGUCGCGGGCGCAAAGAAGAAGUAAGGGGAAAGUCCAGGAAAAUAAAAAAAUCUCGAGGAACGGUUUUGCGAUAUCGCGCAUCUCGCGUGGGCAAAGAGGAGCCUUACAACUAGGAAAGAUUUCCACGAAGACUGAAUAAUUAGCGAAAAGGAAUUCUCAGAAGUUAAACUUAUGCAUAUACAGCGACAUUUUUUAUUUAUACAUCUUCGCGUUUUACGCGGGUGAAGAGUGUUGGGAAGAUUUACGGGGUGAGAGGAAAUCCACCCAUCGUCACCCUUUGAGCACAAACGGUGUCGCGCUAUGGUAUCGCUACUAACCAAAACAAUUUAGGAUAUGAAAACAAUAAAUUCCAUAAAAACAAUGUCUAUUCAUAUUUUUAUUUAUAAAUCUUUUUUUUAUACAAGAGUGUUUUCCAUGUUUCAUUUGAUGAACGAUUUCUACGUGGUAAAUACAGUCUGUUUGAUAAACGUGCCCAGCAAAACUUUUACCUGGAAACCAUUACACACUAACUCUCUCUCUCUCUCUCUCUCUCUCUCUCUCUCUCUCUCUCUCUCUCUCUCUCUCUCUCUCUCUCUCUCUCUUUCUCGUUCUCUGGAAAAUUCCAACAGAAACAAGUACAGAGAGUCUUCCCUAAGAUGCUUUGUAAAAAAAGCUUCAAUUAUUCAAUCUUAGUGACAGAAGGAUAUAUUUCAUAUUUAAGAAAUGUCUACUGUUCAAAAAAUAUAUCAAAAAACAAAUUAUUAGGUGCGAAAAAAUUUAAAUCACGAUUGAAAAAAUGUAAUUUUUUCUGACAAAACUUUCUUUACUUAAAUAGACAUUUUAUUGGUGCCAAUAAUAGCAACAAAGUGUUAUAUUUGAAAAAAACUAAGGAAAAAAGAAAAGGAGGGGAAGAGAGUUGUAGCUUAAAAAUAAAAGUUUUAUGUUGCUUUUACGAAAAGUCCUUUUACAUAAUUCUAUGUAACGUUUUGGCAUUUAAUUUAAUUUGAACAUGAGAUAGUAAAUGUGAGCGGUUCACUAUCAAACGAUGCUGACAAAAUAAAAAAUGUGCAUGUAUCAAAUUACGAUACACACUAAACUCAUUACGCAUUAACGUAAAUAAUUUAGAAAAAAUAUUGCAUUUCCCUUAUCAAAGAUAAAAACCGAGAUAAUUAAACAUUCUAAUUAUUUAGAACAAAAUAUUAUAAAACCAUUUCUUUAUUUAGAUAAUUAUCUAAGUAAUUCUAAAUAAUUUUAUUCUAGAGAACAGAUUAUCUAAUGAUUUUAAUAGAUAACGGCACACUGAUAAUGAGAACAAAAGGAAUAAAUUUUACAUUGCGUGUACCUUUCAUCCCUUUCAAAAUCGGCGACAAAACUGCACUCGAAAACUGCACUCAAAAAUGUUUAUUUCGCAGCGUCGUCUCGUUAACCGGGCAUAAUCAGGAGAAUGGCGGGGCUCCGGUACGCCGGCGAAUAAUUAGAGAAACAUCGCCGCGGAAAUUAGCGCGACAGCGAUAUUUAAUUAGCAUGCGACACAGACCGCCCCCUUCGAAGGAGGGGCUGGAGGAGUUGGAGGGGUUUGCUGCCGAAUAUUGCACGGUAAAGGACAACCCCUUCCCGCGACCUGAAACCGGAUGCAACAUCAAAGGCAGCACUCCCGGGUAUCCUAUGGGAAUUCCGGGGUGAGUGAAGAUGGACCGGGGGCGGGCGUGAGACAGGGAUGCAACAGCUUCGCCGCACGUUUGUUAAUUAACGCUAAUUAAUUAAGGAGUCCCACUGCGUACGGGCGCAUCUACACUACAAGCCCUUUCUAGCUAAGCGCUAAAUCGAGUUUCGACCACAUUUUCGCCAGUUUCUCAUUCUUUCUUUUUUCUUCUUUCUCCUUUUUUCAAGGAAGAGCUAUUCAAGCUCACAUGAUAGUUUCGCGCAAUCAUAAAUGAGCAGUAUUACGUGGAGAACUUUAAGCUCUUACGAAGAUUAAUAGAUAACAAAAAUUGUAGGUUUUAGCUUUGAGUUUAAAUUUUAUUCUAGAGAUAUAUUCUAUAGAGAUCGUCAAUAUAAGCCUGAUAUUAGUCUCCAAACCCCCUUUCUCGAGAAAGGAACUAAAUAUUACACUGUAUUAAUACUAAUAAAAACAUAUUUUGCCAAGAUAAUUGAAGGAAUAACAUUCAAUUUAUACACAUUUAUGUGUGACUUUUUUCUACAUAAAAUCUAUUAAAAACGAAUCUAAUUUCAUCUAACUUUUAUGUAUAUACAUAUAUUGUUGCUCGCCUUGCGGAGCAGCACAAGGUAUUUGUAUAAUCGUCAAAAAAAUGUUUUAUAUCAAAAUGAAAAUCUUCUAAGAAUCAUAUUCAUUAUUUUGCAAAUAUUUUGUACAAAUAACUCAUACGUUAAAAGAAAAAAAUAAGAAAAAGUAGUCUAUUAUGCCAAUUUUGGGACCCAAUUUCUCAGACAUUCAUUUUUGAUAACUUUGCAAAAACGUUAAUUAUUGUAAAAUAUGAAACAGUGUUAUAAAAACAGCUAUAUCAUUUGAUAGACACCUUCCAGUUUAUAUUUGUUUUCAAAGUUUAAUUUUUAACUUUUGUUUAAGAAGUACUAUACAAAAACAAAGUAUGCCAAUAUUGGUGACUUUUCUCUACGCAUACAUAAUAAAAAACCUUUUGUAUUUAUAUUAAAUUUGAUAAGUGUUAAAAAUUUUGUGUUAAAUUCUUAAUAUAAGUGUUAAUUUAAUAUAAGUGUUAAAACAUAAUGUGAUUGUGUCAUUUGAAUAGUUUGUUAUAUUGAUUUUCAUCAAUAACGUUAAAAUAACAAUUGUUGAUUAAAACAUUAUUGAAAUAACAGCAUAAAUAAACAAAUAACAUAAGAAUUUAGUUUUGAAGUAUAAACUAUAAGAGAUAAAUAAAAUGUAUACAUUAACAUAAUAUAAAUGUAAAAAGUAAGGCCAAAAAUUUUGAAGCCCAAAAUUUCGAAUCUAAGAUGUGGACUAAAUGAUAUUUACGAUGAGACAUUAAUCACAGAAAAAUUUUAAGUUGAGCCUACUUUUCAUUUCGAAGAUAUGAGGAGUUAAAGUAGCCAUUCUUCAUUAAUCCAUUAAGAUCAUUUAUACAAAAAAAUAAACAAUAUAAGUUAUUAAAAUUUGUUCCUAUCCAUGAGUAGACUAGCAAGACUUAGGUAAGCAAUAACAGAAAAAAGAACAAAUAUAUAAAGAAAACAUUUCUGACAUAAAAAAUAUUUUAUCUUUUCAUGAACAAAUUUCAAUAAUUUGUAUUGUUUAUUAUUUUUUACAUAAACAGUAUUAUUUUAAAAAAGUUAUACAUGUGUUUUUUAAUGAUUUAAUUAUUAUUAUAUAAUUCAAAAUAAUUAAAAGUUGUUUUUUUUAAGCGAUAACUCUCCAUCGAUUCAAGUUCAUUGAAGUAUUUGCUUAGAAUUAAGAAUCAUGAAUUCUGAAACAGCUACUUUCGGACUUUCAACGCAGCAACUUAAAAUAAAACUAGAUUCGUAAUCACAAUAUUAUUAAUUUAACCAAGUGUAAGAUAUAUGUAUAACUCUCUACCCUGAAAUAUUAAAGAAAAUUUAUUGCAACAAAUAUUAUCUCGAUUUGAAACCUGGAUCUCCCAGCACUUCGUGCGGACAUCUCAGCUAGUUCGAGGCAUUUCAUAAUAUUCCUCGCAAGUUUAAAAUUGUAAUAAGUUAUCUUCAUCUUAUUUAAAAUAUGUAUACAUAUAAUUUAUCAUAUCUUUAUUUAGAUAAUUUUAAGUUAUCUAAGCGUAACACUGCAAAGCACAAAUAAUUAAUACAGCAAUAUAGCUGCACAUAACAACGCUUUGAAAGUUUCUGUUGAGAUUGUAUGUGGGGAAUAAGGGCACAUGGCUCUUUUACAGCCAUGCAGCCUUCUAUAGCUACGUAUUGUGCGCGUUGUAUGCCUUAUGAACAAUAAAGAUGUCCCAAAAA